RNAcentral lists this unclassified non-coding RNA (329 nucleotides) under soil metagenome. RNAcentral describes it as "partial contains 5.8S ribosomal RNA, internal transcribed spacer 2, and large subunit ribosomal RNA". The stretch from base 1 to 120 matches the Rfam family "5.8S ribosomal RNA", at positions 35 to 154 of the family's 154-position model. The record is from RNAcentral.
GAUGAAGAACGCAGCGAAAUGCGAUAAGUAAUGUGAAUUGCAGAAUUCAGUGAAUCAUCGAAUCUUUGAACGCACAUUGCGCCCGCUGGUAUUCCGGGGGGCAUGCCUGUUCGAGCGUCAUUACAACCCUCAAGCUCUGCUUGGUCUUGGGCGUCACCGGUCCCCGGUGUGCCUUAAAAUCAGUGGCGGCGCCAUCUGGCUCUAAGCGUAGUACAUACUCUCGCUACAGACGUCCGGUGGAUGCUGGCCAGCAACCCCCAAUUUAUCAAGGUUGACCUCGGAUCAGGUAGGGAUACCCGCUGAACUUAAGCAUAUCAAUAAGCGGAGGA